AUUGAUUCAUCGCAUUUUAAUCUCUUAAAUUCUUAGAAACUUAUAUAUUAAAAUACAGUAAUUAUAAUCUUAAUAAUCGUAAAUAUAUUUUUUAAAAAUACAAAUAAAUUUAGUAGAAAGUUGUGUUAACAAAUGCGGUGUUUAAGUUGUUAUGAUUUAAGUUUUAGGUGUGUUGUGUGUGUGUGUGCGUGUGUGUGUAAGACUAUAACUUAUUAUUAUUAUUGCUUUGAAAUAUUACGCCUUUGACGUCACACGAGAUGACCAUUGGCUAUACAUCUUUGACGCUAAUUUUCUCAUCGAUCGUUUUAUGCCUGGCAGCAUAGAUUAGAAAAUAUGAAGGAUUAUACGAUCAAGUUUCGUCUCUUAUAAGAUUAUAUCGCAUUUAAAAAAAGUUUCUAAACAGAAGAAUUUUUAAAUAUAUACACAACCUACAUCACGCCAUCAUCUACUUAAAAGAAGAAGAAGAAGGAAAAAACCUUCAAGAUAAGUGCUAAGAACAACCAAGAACAUACAAAACCAUCUCUGAGGAUGCAGGGCUUGGUGCCAUC
This 548-nucleotide long non-coding RNA is filed under the name Androctonus crassicauda. The record is from RNAcentral. Lineage: Eukaryota; Metazoa; Arthropoda; Arachnida; Scorpiones; Buthidae.